Molecule: ribosomal RNA, 253 nt
Filed under: uncultured bacterium
Lineage: Bacteria
Description: partial 16S ribosomal RNA
Rfam family: Bacterial small subunit ribosomal RNA
Source: RNAcentral
GACGUAGGGCGCGAGCGUUGUCCGGAUUUAUUGGGCGUAAAGAGCUCGUAGGCGGUUUGUCGCGUCUGCCGUGAAAGCCCGUGGCUUAACUGCGGGCCUGCAGUGGGUACGGGCAGACUAGAGUUCGGUAGGGGAGUCUGGAAUUCCUGGUGUAGCGGUGAAAUGCGCAGAUAUCAGGAGGAACACCGGUGGCGAAGGCGGGACUCUGGGCCGAUACUGACGCUGAGGAGCGAAAGCGUGGGGAGCAAACAGG